AGAGUUGAGUCCUGGCGUCAGGAUGAACGCUAGCUACAGGCCUAACACAUGCAAGUCGAGGGGCAGCAUGGGAGAAGCUUGCUUUCCUGAUGGCGACCGGCGAAUGGGUGAGUCACGCGUGUCCAACCUGCCUCGGCCCGGGGAUAGCCCUUGGAAAUGAGGAUUAAGACCCGAUACGUGGCGCUUCCGCAUGGCGGCGCCAUGAAACGAGACCGGAGAUGGGGACGCGUCGGAUUAGCUUGACGGCGGGGCAACGGCCCACCGUGGCGACGAUCCGCAGGGGUUCUGAGAGGAAGGUCCCCCACACUGGCACUGAGACACGGGCCAGACUCCUACGGGAGGCAGCAGUGAGGAAUAUUGGUCAAUGGCCGAGAGGCUGAACCAGCCAAAGUAGCGUGCAGGACGACGGCCCUACGGGUUGUAAACUGCUUUUGCGGGAGGAUAAAGGACGUCACGUGUGACGUUUUGCAGGUAUCCCGUGAAUAAGGACCGGCUAAUUCCGUGCCAGCCGCCGC
RNAcentral lists this ribosomal RNA (515 nucleotides) under uncultured bacterium. RNAcentral's name for it is "bacterial SSU rRNA". It matches the Rfam family "Bacterial small subunit ribosomal RNA", at positions 8 to 518 of the family's 1533-position model. The record is from RNAcentral.